UACGAGAGGCCCAAACGUUUAUUCGGAAUUACUGGGCUUAAAGAGUUCGUAGGCGGCAUUGCAAGUAGGGUGUGAAAGCCCUCGGCUCAACCGAGGAAUUGCGCUCUAAACUGCAGUGCUUGAGGACCUAGAGGUGAGCAGAACAGAUGGUGGAGCGGUGAAAUGCGUUGAUAUCAUCUGGAAUACCGGAGGCGAAGGCGGCUCACUGGGAGUUUUCUGACGCUGAGGAACGAAAGCCAGGGUAGCGAACGGG
This 253-nucleotide ribosomal RNA is filed under the name uncultured bacterium. RNAcentral's name for it is "partial 16S ribosomal RNA". It matches the Rfam family "Bacterial small subunit ribosomal RNA", at positions 524 to 776 of the family's 1533-position model. The record is from RNAcentral.